RNAcentral lists this ribosomal RNA (253 nucleotides) under uncultured bacterium. RNAcentral's name for it is "partial 16S ribosomal RNA". It matches the Rfam family "Bacterial small subunit ribosomal RNA", at positions 524 to 776 of the family's 1533-position model. The record is from RNAcentral.
UACGAAGGGGGCUAGCGUUGCUCGGAUUGACUGGGCGUAAAGGGCGCGUAGGCGGCUAGUUCAGUCAGGCGUGAAAUUCCUGGGCUCAACCUGGGGGCUGCGUUUGAUACGUAUUGUCUGGAGUUCGGAAGAGGGUCGUGGAAUUCCCAGUGUAGAGGUGAAAUUCGUAGAUAUUGGGAAGAACACCGGUGGCGAAGGCGGCUAUCUGGACCGACAUUGACGCUGAUGCGCGAAAGCGUGGGGAGCAAACAGG